UUUUUUUUUUUUUUUUUUUUUUUUUUGCUUUUUUAGGGUCGCACCUGAGGCAUACGGAGGUUCCCGGGCUAGGGGUUGAAUCGGAGCUACAGCUGCUGGACUAUGCCACAGCAACUUGGGAUCUGAGCCGCAUCUGCGACCUACACCAUAGCUCACAGCAACCAGAUCCUUAACCCACUGAGCAAAGCCAGGGAUUGAACCUGCAUCCUUUCUAACCUGCUGAGCCGCAAUGGAAACUGCCCCUGUGGAGUCUUAACAGCAGAGGCAGAACAGAUGAUGGGGUCAUACUCUACCAAGCUGUUGUUUAUACAGUAAAUUAUGUGUGGGUGUGUGGGUCUAAUUUUUUGCAAGGGCCUAUCAAUCCUUUGUUAUCUUCAUAAAAGUUUGAGUUAAAGAAUCCCUCUAGGGGAGUUCCCACUGUGGCACAGCAGAUUAAAGAUCUGGUACUGCUGCAGCUGUGGCUCAGAUUUGAUCCCUGGCCCAGGAACUUCCAUGUGCCAUGGGUGCAGCCAAAAAAGGAUAUGGAGGUUCCCAAAAGAAUCCCUCUAGGUACUGCUAUAUAGAGACAUAGUCAGGAGGGAUCCUAUUAAGGUGAAAUUUAUAAUACUCAGAAUUUAUAAAAAGCCAGGCAAGCAUCACCUUUUCCAGAAUUUUAUCUUAAUUUGUGUUUAUUUCCAGCUAGGUAUACAAUGUGGUACAUUAGCAUAAUUGAAGUGCUCCCACCUUAAAGAAGUUGGCUUCUACCCAUCUCUUGCUUCCAUCACACAGUUGCCAAUGUUUAAAUACCAUCUAUUUGCAUUGCUGUAUUCAUUAAGAAUGUUUUACAUUUCUAGUGUCUUGCAAAAGCUGUGCUCAGGAUAAUGCUGAACAGCACCUCCCCCCAUAAUUAACCCUAGUUCUCUGAUGCCCUUAGAGGUCUGCUCCCUCUGAGGACCUUAGAACACUAGCUCAUCCUGAUGAUGAAAUGUUAUGUGAUAUACAUAUCUGAGUAAUUUUUAUUGACAUAAUGAAAUGCUCACAAUAUCAUAUUUAUUUAUUUAUUUAUUUUAGGGCUGCACCCACAGCAUAUGGAGGUUCCCAGGCUAGGGGUCUAAUUGGAGCUGUAGCUGCCAGCCUGUGCCACAGCCACAGCAACAUCCUACACAAACUGCAUCUGCGACCUACACCACAGCUCACGGCAAUACUGGUUUUUUAACCCACUGAGCAAGGCCAGAGAGCAAACCUGAGUCCUCAUGGAUGCUAGAUGGGUUCGUUAACCGCAGAGCCAUGACAGAAACUUCCAAUAUCAUUUAUUUUUAAAAGAGUCUAAAACCAUGCAAUAGCCACUGUAUCAAAAAAUGUACUAGUGCACGUUAUCUUGUGGCUUAGCCAAUUAAGGCUCCGUCAUUGUCACUGCAGCAGCUCGGGUUGCUGCUGGGGCGCAGGUUUGAUCCCUGGCCUGGGAAUUUCCUCAUGCCAUGGGUGUGGCCAGAAAAAAUGUAAUGGGAUGGAAGUUUUAUUAUCUUAACUGCCGACAGUAACAUUCCUCUUGGGGGGAAAGUAUCUGUGCUUUAGAAAAUACUCUGAUAUAAGCCCUUGAGUUAGAGGGAAGACCUGAGGGUAGGAGAGGUUAUAGGAGCUCUAGCAACAGCAGGAAAUGGCUGAACUGCUCUGGAGGAGGCCAGGAGCAGGGAAACUGAGCAGGGAGUUACAAGGACAGCAGGGCAGAUGGUGGCUGGUGGGAAUUCUCUGGCAGAGAACUGUAAGAGGGCCUGACUGAUGUCUUCUUUGAAGCUACUUGCUGCAGUGUGCAACUUUCCUCCUCAGGCUUCAGCUUGCAACAGGCAGAAGGUUUGAUGUGAGUGGGUUUGUGUGUGUGUGCGCGCAUGUGAGCAAAUUCACACAUGCAUGGGUGUGUAUGUUGGGGGGCAGGAGGCAGACCAGGUAAAGAGCAGAGAUAGCAUUUGUUGAGGUAAAAUCUGGAACUGACUAUGAAAAAUAAACCCCUCAAUCUAGAAAUCUGAGGGAUGGCUUUGAACUUCUACAACGACUGAAAUGAGUCCUAGACUCAUUUAACCUAGACUUCAAGAUCUACAAUUAUACGGCUGGAAGGAAAAAUCAAAUUUCUGAUGAGUUAUCUCAGGGUGGGGAUAAUUUCCUUCUCUAUUAUUUUCUCUACUAUUAUUAUAGAAUCUUCUCUAUUAUCCAUGUUUUCUACAAUGAGGAUUUAUUAGUUUUAAAGUCAGAAAAGUUAUUUUUUAAAAAUGUGCUCAUUCUGAGCCUCCCUGGCAUCAGCCAUCAAGUUAGGAAGGAUUUAACAAAUCAAUCUCACAGUGAGUGUUAUGACUAAUAAGGAAUGAGGCUACAUGAGCAGGAACACACAUUUUUUUUGCUGCGGACUCUUGGAGAUGGUAGUUCCAUAAGACAAAGGAAUAUAAUUUCCAGGAGAGUAAGACAAGUAUGACACAAACCAAGCAGCUCCUUAUCCUACCCACCUGAAGACUGUUUCCCUUUAGCCAAAAAUAUGGAUAAACCCUUGAAAUUGAAGGAGGAACAUUGUCUUUCAUGAAUGAUGUCCAAGGAAAGAAGAGCUCUCCAAGGCCUGCAGACACUCACCUGUGGAAACUCUGGCUCUGUUUGGAAGAAUUGGCACUGAUAUUUCCUAUUGGGUCUUGAACUAUCACAAAUUGUUUUGUCUUGGAAUUUUUUUUUAUCAGUUGUUGGGAACAUUACUCUUUUUUGCCCUCCAGUAUGGAUAAAAUCCCAAAUAUCUUGAAGCCCAGGAUUUGGGGAUGUACUUUUCAUGAGGGCAAGAGACCAUGUUUAUCUUCCCCAGCUGCAUCCCUAGGACCGAGGAUGAAGCCUGAGACAUAGAAAAAGAUGUAAUAAUGACUAAUCAUAACUACUGUUGUAUUUACAAGAACAGGUCUUGUUCUAGAUAAUUUAUUUUUUAAAACAUUUUUUUGAGUGAAAAUUUAAAUUCUACUCUCUUAGAGAGUAGAGGCAAAGAGGGAGUGAAACAGGGGGCUCCUGUUUGGACUUGCUUAGUUCUGUAAAUUAUUUUUCUUCUCCUACCACGAGGAUGUGGUAGAAGUCAGUAAUUCCUUCAGAAUUCACCUGGGAACCCCUUGGAAAUGAACUAUAGAGAUAUUUGUGCUUCUCUGCAUGUGAAUAAAGGUUUGGAUCUCUGGAAUCCCUAUUCCAACUUCACACAUAAGAUGGAUUAUUUGGAUCAGCUUUGGUUUGGGAUUUGUUUGGAAGCAUAACUGCUAAGAGGCUGGGAGGCUGAGCAGGUUCCUGAAGAGGUUGCUCCCAUCCCUCAACACAAGAGGGCAGUGUUUCAACAGGCCUGAGCUUUUGAACACAUCAUAAAGUGUGCUUCCACUAUCUUCAGCAAAAAGCCUGUUGGACUGAUUAUUUCAGCUCAAGAAUUUAGAGUCCAGGGGAGGAUGCAUUUUAAUGACUCCAGGGAACAGAUCAAAUUAAACACAUUAUCCCGGAUUUUCUUCCCUCGCCUCCUUUCACCUGCCUUCUCUGCGGAGUCUGUCUGCGCAGUGUGGGUCUCGGCCCCUGUCCUGAAUCAGCCCCUCUGCAGAGCCACAGCCUUUGCUAAGGAAGGAAGGGCCAGAAGAGAUUUCCACAGCUUGUUUUGGUGUACUUUCUCCAAGGUCACCUUCCAGCAAGAUAACCUUAGGAACUGCUGAAAGUUGCCUGAUCAGCGGGCAUGUCUACAGCUGAAUAGGGAAAACCAAACCCAGACCCGAAGCUGGCCCAUCCUGCUGUGGGCUACCUACCUUUCCAAGGCUUUACAUAGAUCAUCUCUAAUCUUCCUAACAGUCUUGCAAGAAAAAUAGCAUUGCCAUGAGGCAAAUGAGGAAACAAAGAUAUAGAGGUUAAAAAAACCUUCCCAAGGUCAUGAACUAUUAAGUGCUGAGCUGGGACUCAGACCAGGAUGUCUGGUUCCAAAGCCUGGAAGAUACAUUGCAUUUCCCUCAAGCUAGGUCCCUACUUCCCUUAUCCCUGUAAGUAGCCCGGGACAUUUGACUAGAACAUGAAGUGCACACACUAAAUUUCCCUGUUUGGGGGCAAAAGCUUAGGCUGCUCCUUUGGGCACCUUGAGUGUCAACUUCAAGUUCUUUUUAAAAUUUUAAUGAUUUUUAUUUUUUCCAUUAUAGUUGAUUUACAGCAUUCUGUCAAUUUUCUACUGUAUAGCAAAAAGUGACCCAGUCACACAUACAUAUACAUAUAUAUACAUUCCUUUUCUCACAUUAUCCUCCACCAUGCUCCACAAGUGACUAGAUAUAGUUCCCUGUGCCUAUACAGCAGGAUCUCAUUGCUUAUCCAUUCCAAAUGUAAUAUUCUGCCUCUAUUAAUUCCAGAUUCCCAGUCCAUCCCACUCCCUCUCCCUCCCACUUGGCAACCACAAGUCUCUUCUCCAAGUUCAUGAGUUUCUUUGCUGUGGAAGGUUCAUUUGUGCCAUAUAUUAGAUUCUAGAUAUAAGGGAUAUCAUACGGUAUUUGUCUUUCUCUUUCUGACUUACUUCGCUUAGUAUGGAAAUCUCUAGUUCCAUCCAUUCAAUUUGAAGUUCUAUUCACCCUCCAUCUUCUGCAGCUCCUGGAAUAAUCUGGCAUUUAAUGGGUGCUCAGUUCUGUGCAGAUUGACUAACUUGCAUUUCUGUGAUCCCUUGGGUUAUUUGACAGAUUUACUCCUGAUGCAAACAUUUUUGUUUCCAUCUCACCUGUUUAUAGAAGUUGUUUCUGCCCAGCUUCUCAUUAAAACACUCUCAGAAACUUACAAGGAAGUGUUGUAUUUGCUUUCUCAACUUUAUUUUCACAGAUAAAAUUUACAAGUGAUUUUUUUUAAAAAGAGGCCGAACUAACUAAUCAAUCAAAACAAACAGCUGUAAUCUGAUUUUAGAGCAAUCUGCAUGAUAAGAACUGACCAAGGGGAAAUAAUUUCCUAUCACAGUGGGAUAACAUGCAAAUGGAAUUUAAACUCCAGGCUCUCUCACCUCACAGAAUGUCAGAGAAGUGCCAAGCAGAAUGUGUUUAUGAAUGGAAAAGUCAAUGGUGUUAUAUUUUAUCUUAGGGUCGUCUCAAUCUUAUUUUUUGUAAAGGACAAAAUAGCUCUAAACAUCUCUAAAUAUUUCACUCCAUAUGGCCUGAAUCCCAAACUUAAAAAUAUCUACCAACUGCCCACAGAGAAGGUUUUUAAAAGAAAGAAGCCAUUUUAUUGGACUCUCUCCUCAGAAAAAUUUUCCCCUGGGUAAAAUACAGGCUCCUUGCAAUGUCGCUGAAUCUUGCAAAGGCUGGAUGCUUGUUUGUUAGCUAGCUGUGUUAUGGAAGGUGUCCCACUAGGUGGAAAGUUGGACCAGAGGACCCCUGGGGAAGGUUCGGAGAUUCUUGUGCAUGAAGCACAUGAAUGGUGAUUGCCUGCAGUCUUAACGUAUAUAAUAGUAUCUUGCGAAGCACCAGGACCAGUGACCUGACCUGCUUGCCCUGUAUCCGAGGGCUCUUCAACUUUCCCCACACCCACUUUCCAACUCCUACAAAUCCAGAGAGGCCACAGGCUGUGAACAACACUUCAAAGGAAAAUGAGAAACACUACAAUCAUUCAAAAUGGGUUGCCACUGAGAGAAAUGGGUUAGGAAACCGUAGCUGUGCCUAAAAACGAGAAAGCUCCAUGGCUCUCUUCGCUAUCUCGAAAACCAGCUGGUACACGACAGAUGCAAUUUUCAGCCCAAGUCCUACAAUUCUUUUCAACCUGUAGCCUGCACAUCGAACACCUAGCAAAGGAACAGCCAGGCUGAUCCACUGAUGCCUUCCUCCAAAGCCUGCAGAACACUGCACAUUUGUGGUCACUCACAGGUGGGUAGAGCGGUGGCCCCCACAUCAAGUGGCGCUGGACAUUUCAUCCACUGUCAUGCUUUCCUUCACCUGUUAUAUUUCUUGAGCCUCUGUUGAUGUGCCAGGCACUGUUGUAGGUGCUUGGGAUACAGCUAUGAACAAGGAAGGGAAGAUUCUUACAUUCUAAUAGGAGAGAGAGACAGUAAAAUAAUGAAAAAAAAA
This 6047-nucleotide long non-coding RNA is filed under the name Sus scrofa (pig). RNAcentral's name for it is "lncRNA (ENSSSCG00060038585.1)". The record is from RNAcentral. Lineage: Eukaryota; Metazoa; Chordata; Mammalia; Artiodactyla; Suidae.